UGUAAAAUGCACAAUAUUUCUCAGGCAUCUGUCACCUGAACAGGUUUACACCAUAGAUUUGGAGAAUGAAUACCAAAGUCAAGAAAAUAAAGAUAGAGUAAUACUUGUGGCAAGGUGAGAUACAGAAGAUGUCUGGAAGAAAUGGGAAUUAAAAACACAGUCAACACAAUGUUCGAUAGAAGAGAUGAGGAUGGACAUCUUUUCCCUGUUCCUGAUAUUAUGGAAAAGCCAAUUCAUAAUGGCAAUUGAUGCUUUACUUUUCCUAUCAAUCCUUCCACACUUCUAUAACCUGGUGUUAUAUAAAGGGAAAUAGAGAAAACAUUAGUCAGCUUUUAUAAAAUGUUAUAGCAAUUUGACAGAGUAAUAAGGCCUGUUGACUCUAAUAAUAAAAAGAUUUGUACAUUGUA
Long non-coding RNA from Bubalus bubalis (water buffalo), 407 nucleotides. RefSeq lists it as uncharacterized. The transcript is spliced from 2 exons. NCBI's taxonomy places the organism in Eukaryota, Metazoa, Chordata, Mammalia, Artiodactyla, Bovidae. The record is from RefSeq and is a predicted model, not a curated record.